AUGGCAGCUGGGCCGCUGGAGCUAUGGAACGACCAGUCGAUGCAGAUCUUGGUCCUCCUAAGCCUCGGGCUCCAGCUCGUCCUCUUCGUCUUCGCCGGUGUCCGCCGGCGUGAAGCCCUCCUCGUGCCGAGGUUAUUCCUGUGGCUGGCGUACCUCAUGGCUGACUCCACCGCCGUGUAUGCCGUGGGCCACCUGUCGUUCAGCGGCGCUGUGCGGCCCGUGCGUGAGCACCAGCUCGUUGCGUUCUGGGCGCCUUUCCUGCUGCUGCACCUCGGCGGCCCGGACAACAUCACCGCCUACGCGUUCCAGGACAACCAGCUCUGGCUCCGCCACCUCCAGAUCCUCGUCGUGCAGGUCCUCGGAGCGGCUUAUGUCCUGUACAAGCACAUCGCUGGUGGUAGCAGCGGGAGCUUGCUGCGGCCUGCCUCCGCUUUGAUGUUCAUCGUCGGCGUUGUCAAGUAUGGGGAGAAGACGUGGGCGCUCAAGUGCAGCACCCUGGAGAGCAUGGGCGCCUCCGUCAAGACGCAGCCGCCGGCCAUCCACAACCAUUUCCACCCUCAGGACGGAGCCACGGAGGAGGAGUUCAAUCUGAGACGAGCCCACUCGUUGUUCCACAUCUGCCAGCACGCCAUCGUCGACUCCUCAGUGGUCGAGGAGGAUUCCAGCCUAAAUGAGCACACCACCGUGCAUAGCCAUAGAGGAAUACAGGGCGUCGAGCUGUGGACGCUGAUGGAGAUCGAGCUCUCCCUCAUGUACGAUGUCCUCUACACCAAGGCGGCCGUGGUCCAUACGUUCUUCGGCUACAUAAUCCGCUUCGUCUCGCCGCUUGCCGUCACCACCUCGCUGCUGUUAUUCUGGUUCGCCGCCAAGGAUGGCCACAAGAGAGCCGACGUGGCCAUCACCUACGUCCUGCUGGGUGGCGCCGUCUUCAUGGAGACGAUGUCGCUCGUGAACGCGCUAGCAUCGUCUUGGACGUUCGCGUUCCUGAGCACAGCCAGGUGGCAAUGGCUUCGCUACACAGCCCUGUGCAACAAAAGAUGGGACAAGCUCCGGCGCGCGGUUGUGUGGCUUCACCAUCUUGUCAAGGGAGGUGCUGCUGGUGAUAGUAGGUACAGAUCAAGAAGGUGGUCGUACACCUUCGGGCAGUACAACUUGUUGCACUUCUGCACACGACCCGCCGACACACCGUUCACCAGCCCUCUGCUCGGUAGGCUGGCCAGGGCGCUGGGACUAAACGAGUGGUGGAACAGAAAGCACUACUCGGCGACAGUUAAGUUGUCGGAUUGGACCAGGCGUUGUAUCACACUGUACAUAAGGCAGUUGUUCGUCAAGGGAAACUUCAAAACAGGCAUGCUCAGGAAGAAGUGGGGCGAGAACCCGCUGGAGAGCCGUGGGCUUUACCGCGGCGUCCUCAAGGACUCCCUCGGCUUCGAGUUCCAGGAGGGCGUCAUCAUAUGGCACAUCGCCACCGAGGUCUUCCUUGCCAAGAGCAGGAGAGCAAGAGCCGUGGAUGCCGCGCCUGACGUGCAUGCUAUUAGGGUGAUGUCCGACUACAUGAUGUUUCUUCUAGUGGAUCGUCCCUACAUGCUGCCAGGCCAGCCCCAAAAGAAGUUGUACCUGCGAACCUGCGAGAGGCUGGUUGCCAUGCGAUCGGAUGAUCGUAGGUACCUGAGUCGUGCACGCAUCAAGGAUUUGUUCCGUGUCCAUGAUGGCCCAAACUCUAGCAGUUUCAGGGUCGCCGAGAGAAAGGAGCUCGUAAACAACCUGCACGAUAAUUACAAAAAACAAGAGUAUGACGAAGUUGCUCUUCGUCUCAUUCACAUGGCUCGAGUGGCCGAGGAGCUACUGAAGGAGUGUGAUGGCACGACCGACUCCUUGAAGCUUGUCCUUGAAAUGUGGAUGGACUUUCUUAUUUACGCGAGCCACAAGUGCAGCAGGGAGUCCCAUGCCCAGAAGCUCAACAGUGGUGGUGAGCUUACAACCAUAGUGUGGCUUAUGGCAGAACACAUGUACCAGGCAUUCGUUGCAGAAAAAUAUGACAUGGUAUAA
This 2049-nucleotide ribosomal RNA is filed under the name Triticum aestivum (bread wheat). RNAcentral's name for it is "partial small subunit ribosomal RNA". Lineage: Eukaryota; Viridiplantae; Streptophyta; Magnoliopsida; Poales; Poaceae. The record is from RNAcentral.